Molecule: RNA transcript, 2884 nt
Organism: Drosophila miranda
Lineage: Eukaryota; Metazoa; Arthropoda; Insecta; Diptera; Drosophilidae
Exons: 3
Source: RefSeq, a predicted model, not a curated record
UGCGGUGUCCGCUGUAACUCACAACGUUCCCCCUCGUUUACUUUGUGAUCGAAAAAAAUAUAUAAAUCUAUAUCUGGAAAAACCCAAUCCCUUAUAAAGGAAAUAAAUGGAACUGCUGGAAGUGUCGAUUCGUUCUGCAGAGCCAACUGUGCUCAAAAUUUCUAUUAAAUAUCUAACGACUUUUUAGCAGAAUUCAUUUGUAAGCAGAACACAGCUGAUUGACCGGUGUGACCGUACUUAGUUUCCUGUUGCCUGGCCACACUCUGUCACUAUAGGUUGAACCAGGAACCACUAACAAUACAGUAUAUAGAUGUGCCAGUUCAUACAGCGAACAUGUCGCACAUCGAACACAUGAAACUGGAUCCCAGGUUCUUCGGCUCUGGCGUUCGGCUACCGCCGCGUCAUCAAGAGCCAAGCAACGCUUUGCAUGUAACUGCAUACAACAAUAGAAUACAACACAAAACUGAUCAACACAAGAAUAUAAAUAAAUAUAAACAAAAUGAGGUUAAUUCAUAGCUUGUUGCCAUUGGUUUUUAAUCAGCUACAGAAAAUCACGGAUGACCGUGACAAAGUGCCACAGCGUGUUCCGUUUCCGUUUCCGAAUUUGACAUUGACUUUGCUUCCAAAACGAAUCCUUGUCUGUCGGUCAUGCUUUGUUUUUUAUGUUUCGAUAAUCUACUCCGCUCAAGUAUCAUUCCAAAAUUGUUUGUUCUGUCCGAGAAAAAUAGCUUGUUCAGCUUGAUAGUUAUAUGAGCGGCUGGACGAGAGCGACUACCUUCAUUCUCAGAGCGGAGAUUCAACGUGUCUCCCACUCCAGCUGCGACUGAUCACUUUCCAAGAAUGGGUGGACUUCCUACUGCACGUCAACAAACUCAUGGUCGGCACUUGAAGAGGAGGCAAUCGGAAAGGUCAUGUCGGUCAAUGGGGAGCAACAACAGACGCUGGACGAGAACCGAAACUUGCCCAAGGACCAAGGACUGCACAAUCAUCAAGUUCCUACAGAAUGCCUUUCACCGGAACAUUUGGGACACGGACAGCUGUUGACUGGAGACCCAACUGUCCACCAGUUCCCGGACAUAUUCUGCGAGCAGCUUCAUCCGAUUCCGGCAGGCCUCCACGGACUGGAUUUGAUGUCUACUGUGCAUAAAGUAUCUUCAGAAUUUGGCUCUCUUGCUCAUCUUUCACAGAGAGUUUAUCCAGAAAGCAAGAAGCCAAGAAGCAAGCAAGAAGAAACAAGCUAUUAAUUGACCUCAUUUUGUGUUCUAUUUAUUUAUAUUCUUGUGUUGAUCAGUUUUGUGUUGUAUUCUAUUGUUGUAUGCAGUUACAUGCAAAGUGUUGUUUGGCUCUUGAUGACGCGGGGGUUAGCCGAUCGCCAGAGCCGAAGACCCUGAGAUCCAGUUUCAUGUGUUCGAUGUGCUGUAUGAACUGGCACAUCUGCAUAUGUAUGUAUAUACUGUAUGGUUAGUGGUUGAAACCCGUCCAAUAAUAUAUUAUCUAUACUAUAAUGAGUUCUAUCAUAGGUUCUAUAUAAUUAGAAUUAGAAUAAUAAUUUCUUAUUCUCAAAUGGAAAAUAUUACAUUUUCUGUUAAAUAAUUAACUUAACAUGUGAUAAGUUAGAAGUUAGAAAUUCAAUCGCUUUGUGUUUUAAAGCGGCUGUAAAGUGACCUAAAGUCUUGAUACGUACUGUAAUCAGAGGGAAAUCGGUGUACUAACAAUUUUUUGUACAUUAUCUUAUCUAGAAAGUACACCCAUAAGAGAGGCCAAUGGAGCGUCGACAUUAGUAAUUUUUAUUAUUUGUAUACUCUUGCAGAGGAUAGCAUAAUGCUGCCCCCCGCAAUCUUGCAUUGUGGAAAUUGAAGCACUCCCGACACUCUCGAACUGCUUUGGCUUUAAAGGAACUGCUUGUUUGAGCAUACCGCGGCGCACCCCUCUGUUAGCUUUCGUACUUUCUUCUGUUAUCAUUAUUGAUGAUACUAUAAUGUGUAAUGGGCUUAGAAACCCACAUAGUACAUAGUAUAAUGCACAUGUAUAUUUAUGUAUGUAUGACUUUAGAUUAUGUUCGAUAAUCUAAACGAUAGUCUACGAAGAAAUGCUCUCUACGAGCGUAUUGUAUAUUCUUUAUUGUGAGAAGUCCGCACUAUUAUCUGUUUUAUGAUCAUCUCCACAGUUUCAAUGUAAAAUACUGGACACAUUUUCUCAGGAGAUUAAUUCUGUAACUACAACUUCACAAACUUUGAUUAAAAGUCUUUCGUUUUGGAACAAGGACAGUUUCCUGGACUUGAACUUGCGCCUGAUCGGACCUCGAGGAUUCUCCAAGUCCAGUUCCACGAUCUGCCUAAACUAUUCCCUUUUCGAUUCCACUACUAGGACGAAAACCCAAUACAGAAAUACGACGACUAAGGCUUAUCUCAACUGGCAGAUGCAGAAACAAACUAAAGGUAGCAAUAAGAUGGGGCUAUAUCUUUAAUCAGUCAACAAUUAAAUUCGUUUCACGUUUUCUGUGUCUCUUUCCUCCGCUGGAGGCAGGAUGCAGAGUAAUUUAGCUUAUGGAGAUACUCAAAACAUGAUCAUUACACACACUUAUGAGACUCUCGAGACUCUUCGGGGACUGACUGGCUCUCCUGCUGCUUUAGUUGCCACACACUUGUGAGACGAGCCACGCCCAAGGCACCGGCAGCGGCUCCAAAGACCUUCAGUGGCUUACUGCUUCCUGACUGGGCCAGCAAAACGGAGCCCAUUCCGAUCAGACACAUGCCACUGAAGCAUCGUCGGGGCAAAGGAUCCCGUUCUCUGCGGCAAAAUAGCAGAAUCAUUUCGUUUUUAUACCCGAUACUCAAAAUGAGUAUUGGGGUAUAUUAGAUUUGUGGUAAAAGUGGAUGUGUGU